RNAcentral lists this ribosomal RNA (2931 nucleotides) under Escherichia coli. RNAcentral describes it as "23S ribosomal RNA". It matches the Rfam family "Bacterial large subunit ribosomal RNA". The record is from RNAcentral. Lineage: Bacteria; Pseudomonadati; Pseudomonadota; Gammaproteobacteria; Enterobacterales; Enterobacteriaceae.
GGGUUGUGAGGUUAAGCGACUAAGCGUACACGGUGGAUGCCCUGGCAGUCAGAGGCGAUGAAGGACGUGCUAAUCUGCGAUAAGCGUCGGUAAGGUGAUAUGAACCGUUAUAACCGGCGAUUUCCGAAUGGGGAAACCCAGUGUGAUUCGUCACACUAUCAUUAACUGAAUCCAUAGGUUAAUGAGGCGAACCGGGGGAACUGAAACAUCUAAGUACCCCGAGGAAAAGAAAUCAACCGAGAUUCCCCCAGUAGCGGCGAGCGAACGGGGAGCAGCCCAGAGCCUGAAUCAGUGUGUGUGUUAGUGGAAGCGUCUGGAAAGGCGCGCGAUACAGGGUGACAGCCCCGUACACAAAAAUGCACAUACUGUGAGCUCGAUGAGUAGGGCGGGACACGUGGUAUCCUGUCUGAAUAUGGGGGGACCAUCCUCCAAGGCUAAAUACUCCUGACUGACCGAUAGUGAACCAGUACCGUGAGGGAAAGGCGAAAAGAACCCCGGCGAGGGGAGUGAAAAAGAACCUGAAACCGUGUACGUACAAGCAGUGGGAGCACAGAGCAAUCUGUGUGACUGCGUACCUUUUGUAUAAUGGGUCAGCGACUUAUAUUCUGUAGCAAGGUUAACCGAAUAGGGGAGCCGAAGGGAAACCGAGUCUUAACCGGGCGUUAAGUUGCAGGGUAUAGACCCGAAACCCGGUGAUCUAGCCAUGGGCAGGUUGAAGGUUGGGUAACACUAACUGGAGGACCGAACCGACUAAUGUUGAAAAAUUAGCGGAUGACUUGUGGCUGGGGGUGAAAGGCCAAUCAAACCGGGAGAUAGCUGGUUCUCCCCGAAAGCUAUUUAGGUAGCGCCUCGUGAAUUCAUCUCCGGGGGUAGAGCACUGUUUCGGCAAGGGGGUCAUCCCGACUUACCAACCCGAUGCAAACUGCGAAUACCGGAGAAUGUUAUCACGGGAGACACACGGCGGGUGCUAACGUCCGUCGUGAAGAGGGAAACAACCCAGACCGCCAGCUAAGGUCCCAAAGUCAUGGUUAAGUGGGAAACGAUGUGGGAAGGCCCAGACAGCCAGGAUGUUGGCUUAGAAGCAGCCAUCAUUUAAAGAAAGCGUAAUAGCUCACUGGUCGAGUCGGCCUGCGCGGAAGAUGUAACGGGGCUAAACCAUGCACCGAAGCUGCGGCAGCGACACUGUGUGUUGUUGGGUAGGGGAGCGUUCUGUAAGCCUGUGAAGGUGUGCUGUGAGGCAUGCUGGAGGUAUCAGAAGUGCGAAUGCUGACAUAAGUAACGAUAAAGCGGGUGAAAAGCCCGCUCGCCGGAAGACCAAGGGUUCCUGUCCAACGUUAAUCGGGGCAGGGUGAGUCGACCCCUAAGGCGAGGCCGAAAGGCGUAGUCGAUGGGAAACAGGUUAAUAUUCCUGUACUUGGUGUUACUGCGAAGGGGGACGGAGAAGGCUAUGUUGGCCGGGCGACGGUUGUCCCGGUUUAAGCGUGUAGGCUGGUUUUCCAGGCAAAUCCGGAAAAUCAAGGCUGAGGCGUGAUGACGAGGCACUACGGUGCUGAAGCAACAAAUGCCCUGCUUCCAGGAAAAGCCUCUAAGCAUCAGGUAACAUCAAAUCGUACCCCAAACCGACACAGGUGGUCAGGUAGAGAAUACCAAGGCGCUUGAGAGAACUCGGGUGAAGGAACUAGGCAAAAUGGUGCCGUAACUUCGGGAGAAGGCACGCUGAUAUGUAGGUGAAGUCCCUCGCGGAUGGAGCUGAAAUCAGUCGAAGAUACCAGCUGGCUGCAACUGUUUAUUAAAAACACAGCACUGUGCAAACACGAAAGUGGACGUAUACGGUGUGACGCCUGCCCGGUGCCGGAAGGUUAAUUGAUGGGGUCAGCGCAAGCGAAGCUCUUGAUCGAAGCCCCGGUAAACGGCGGCCGUAACUAUAACGGUCCUAAGGUAGCGAAAUUCCUUGUCGGGUAAGUUCCGACCUGCACGAAUGGCGUAAUGAUGGCCAGGCUGUCUCCACCCGAGACUCAGUGAAAUUGAACUCGCUGUGAAGAUGCAGUGUACCCGCGGCAAGACGGAAAGACCCCGUGAACCUUUACUAUAGCUUGACACUGAACAUUGAGCCUUGAUGUGUAGGAUAGGUGGGAGGCUUUGAAGUGUGGACGCCAGUCUGCAUGGAGCCGACCUUGAAAUACCACCCUUUAAUGUUUGAUGUUCUAACGUGGACCCGUGAUCCGGGUUGCGGACAGUGUCUGGUGGGUAGUUUGACUGGGGCGGUCUCCUCCUAAAGAGUAACGGAGGAGCACGAAGGUUGGCUAAUCCUGGUCGGACAUCAGGAGGUUAGUGCAAUGGCAUAAGCCAGCUUGACUGCGAGCGUGACGGCGCGAGCAGGUGCGAAAGCAGGUCAUAGUGAUCCGGUGGUUCUGAAUGGAAGGGCCAUCGCUCAACGGAUAAAAGGUACUCCGGGGAUAACAGGCUGAUACCGCCCAAGAGUUCAUAUCGACGGCGGUGUUUGGCACCUCGAUGUCGGCUCAUCACAUCCUGGGGCUGAAGUAGGUCCCAAGGGUAUGGCUGUUCGCCAUUUAAAGUGGUACGCGAGCUGGGUUUAGAACGUCGUGAGACAGUUCGGUCCCUAUCUGCCGUGGGCGCUGGAGAACUGAGGGGGGCUGCUCCUAGUACGAGAGGACCGGAGUGGACGCAUCACUGGUGUUCGGGUUGUCAUGCCAAUGGCACUGCCCGGUAGCUAAAUGCGGAAGAGAUAAGUGCUGAAAGCAUCUAAGCACGAAACUUGCCCCGAGAUGAGUUCUCCCUGACCCUUUAAGGGUCCUGAAGGAACGUUGAAGACGACGACGUUGAUAGGCCGGGUGUGUAAGCGCAGCGAUGCGUUGAGCUAACCGGUACUAAUGAACCGUGAGGCUUAACCUUACAACGCCGAAGGUGUUU